RNAcentral lists this transfer RNA (77 nucleotides) under Ruminococcaceae bacterium FB2012. RNAcentral's name for it is "tRNA_Leu_AAG". It matches the Rfam family "tRNA". Rfam says of the family: Transfer RNA (tRNA) molecules are approximately 80 nucleotides in length. Their secondary structure includes four short double-helical elements and three loops (D, anti-codon, and T loops). The record is from RNAcentral. Lineage: Bacteria; Bacillati; Bacillota; Clostridia; Eubacteriales; Oscillospiraceae.
GUCCGUGUGGCGGAAAUGGCAUACGCACUCGGCUAAGAACCGGGUCUUUAAGGGUUCGACUCCCUUCACGGAUACCA